ACGGGUGAGUAACGCGUGGGUAACCUGCCUCAUACAGGGGGAUAACAGUUAGAAAUGACUGCUAAUACCGCAUAAGCGCACAGUGCUGCAUAGCACAGUGUGAAAAACUCCGGUGGUAUGAGAUGGACCCGCGUCUGAUUAGGUAGUUGGUGAGGUAAUGGCCCACCAAGCCGACGAUCAGUAGCCGACCUGAGAGGGUGACCGGCCACAUUGGGACUGAGACACGGCCCAAACUCCUACGGGAGGCAGCAGUGGGGAAUAUUGGACAAUGGGGGAAACCCUGAUCCAGCGACGCCGCGUGAGUGAAGAAGUGUUUCGGCAUGUAAAGCUCUAUCAGCAGGGAAGAAAAUGACGGUACCUGACUAAGAAGCCCCGGCUAACUACGUGCCAGCAACCGCGGUAAUACGUAGGGGGCAAGCGUUAUCCGGAUUUACUGGGUGUAAAGGGAGCGUAGACGGCUCUGCAAGUCUGGAGUGAAAGCCCGGGGCUCAACCCCGGGACUGCUUUGGAAACUGUGGAGCUAGAGUGCAGGAGAGGUAAGUGGAAUUCCUAGU
RNAcentral lists this ribosomal RNA (554 nucleotides) under uncultured bacterium. RNAcentral describes it as "bacterial SSU rRNA". It matches the Rfam family "Bacterial small subunit ribosomal RNA", at positions 102 to 674 of the family's 1533-position model. The record is from RNAcentral.